This 253-nucleotide ribosomal RNA is filed under the name uncultured bacterium. RNAcentral describes it as "partial 16S ribosomal RNA". It matches the Rfam family "Bacterial small subunit ribosomal RNA", at positions 524 to 776 of the family's 1533-position model. The record is from RNAcentral.
UACGGAGGGUGCAAACGUUGCUCGGAAUUAUUGGGCGUAAAGCGCGCGCAGGCGGCCUUUUAAGUCUGAUGUGAAAGCCCACGGCUCAACCGUGGAAGGUCAUUGGAAACUGAAAGGCUUGAGUACAGAAGAGGAAAGCGGAAUUCCACGUGUAGCGGUGAAAUGCGUAGAGAUGUGGAGGAACACCCGUGGCUAAGGCGGCUCUCUAGUACGGUACUGACGCUGAGGAGCGAAAGCGUGGGGAGCAAACAGG